AGUGAUAGUGUUUGAGGUACAGUAGUAGGCCCAGUAGGACAGCAUUGGGUGGUUGGUCUCGGGUGACUUGGAUAUACAGUCGGCUUCUAUGGCAUUAGAGGGACUUUGGAUUCAGGUGGAGCACUGGAUGGAGAUGGCUUCACAGGUGCAGAGGGUUUUGGCACAUAUUCAGAGUAGAAAGGUGCAAGAGGAGGAGUGAUAUCCUAGCACCAGCAUCAGGUUUGCAUAGAGCCAGAUGGAGAGGAGUGUACAGAUAGAGAGGCAUGGCUCGG
RNAcentral lists this long non-coding RNA (272 nucleotides) under Elaeis guineensis (African oil palm). Its description in RNAcentral is "long non-coding RNA (EGUI_LNC060989)". The record is from RNAcentral. Lineage: Eukaryota; Viridiplantae; Streptophyta; Magnoliopsida; Arecales; Arecaceae.